UCCCAGGCUGCAGGCCACAGAUAGACCCAGUGUCAGGCCUCUGGCCAGCCAGUGAUUCUGAGGCAGGGACAUCACUGCCCACCUAACUCUCCUGCAGACCCCAGUCCUAGCGCACCACUCUAAGUAGGCCACAGACAGGCCCAGCGGCAGGCUUCUGACCAGGCAAAGUUUCUGAGACGGGUCCAUCAUCGAUCUACUACCUCUCUGAAGAUCCCAGCCCCAACGCCAACCUGCUACCCUGUCCUUUCCAUGGAUGCAGGCCACAGACAGACACAGCAGCAGGCCUCUGGCCAACCAGUGAUUCUGAGGCAGGGACAUCACUGUCCACCAACCUCUCCUGCAGAUCCCAGUUCCAGUGCCCACCCGCUAAUUAGACUGUCCUAUCCAUGGCUGCAGGCCACAGACAGAUUCAGCAGCAUGCCUCUGGCAAGCCAGUGACUCUGAGGCAGGGACAUCUCUGCCCACCUUCUUCUCCUGAAGUAUCCAGCACCCACCUUCUAGCCUGCUUUGUGCCUGGCUGCAUGCCACAGACAGACCUGGCCAUGGGCCUCUUGCCAACCUGUGAUUCUGAGGCAGGGACAUCACUGACCACCUACUUCUCCUGCAGACCCCAGCCCUAGAGCCAACCCGCUAGAUGCAGGACACAGACAGACCCAACUCCAGGCCUCUGGCCAGCCAGUGAUUCUGAGACAGGGACAUCACUGCCCCCCUACGUCUCCUGAAGACGCCAGCCCCAACUCCAACCUGCUUCCCUGUCCUUUUCCUGGGUGCAGGCCACAAACUGACCCAGCAGCAGGCUUCUGGCCAGCCAGUGAUUCAGAGGCAGGGACAUCACUGUCCACCCACCUCUCCUACAGAUCCCAGCUUCAGCGCCCA
Molecule: long non-coding RNA, 876 nt
Organism: Tupaia belangeri chinensis (Chinese tree shrew)
Lineage: Eukaryota; Metazoa; Chordata; Mammalia; Scandentia; Tupaiidae
Exons: 4
Source: RefSeq, a predicted model, not a curated record